This 253-nucleotide ribosomal RNA is filed under the name uncultured bacterium. Its description in RNAcentral is "partial 16S ribosomal RNA". It matches the Rfam family "Bacterial small subunit ribosomal RNA", at positions 524 to 776 of the family's 1533-position model. The record is from RNAcentral.
UACAGAGGGUGCAAGCGUUAAUCGGAAUUACUGGGCGUAAAGCGUGCGCAGACGGUUAUCUAAGUCGAGUGUGAAAGCCCCGGGCUCAACCUGGGAAUUGCAUUCGAAACUGAAUAGCUAGGGUGCGGAAGAGGGAAGUGGAAUUUCCGGUGUAGCGGUGAAAUGCGUAGAUAUCGGAAGGAACAUCAGUGGCGAAAGCGACUUCCUGGUCCAGCACCGACGUUCAGGCGCGAAAGCGUGGGGAGCAAAUAGG